This 446-nucleotide ribosomal RNA is filed under the name uncultured bacterium. RNAcentral's name for it is "partial 16S ribosomal RNA". It matches the Rfam family "Bacterial small subunit ribosomal RNA", at positions 338 to 795 of the family's 1533-position model. The record is from RNAcentral.
CCUACGGGGGGCUGCAGUCGAGAAUCAUUCACAAUGGGGGAAACCCUGAUGGUGCGACGCCGCGUGGGGGAAUGAAGGUCUUCGGAUUGUAAACCCCUGUCAUGUGGGAGCAAAUUAAAAAGAUAGUACCACAAGAGGAAGAGACGGCUAACUCUGUGCCAGCAGCCGCGGUAAUACAGAGGGCUCAAGCGUUGUUCGGAAUCACUGGGCGUAAAGCGUGCGUAGGCUGUUUCGUAAGUCGUGUGUGAAAGGCGCGGGCUCAACCCGCGGACGGCACAUGAUACUGCGAGACUAGAGUAAGGGAGGGGGAACCGGAAUUCUCGGUGUAGCAGUGAAAUGCGUAGAUAUCGAGAGGAACACUCGAGGCGAAGGCGGGUUCCUGGACAUUAACUGACGCUGAGGCACGAAGGCCAGGGGAGCGAAAGGGAUUAGAUACCCGGGUAGUC